RNAcentral lists this ribosomal RNA (253 nucleotides) under uncultured bacterium. Its description in RNAcentral is "partial 16S ribosomal RNA". It matches the Rfam family "Bacterial small subunit ribosomal RNA", at positions 524 to 776 of the family's 1533-position model. The record is from RNAcentral.
UACGUAGGGGGCAAGCGUUGUCUGGAUUUAUUGGGCGUAAAGAGCGUGUAGGCGGCCAGACAGGUCCGUUGUGAAAACUCGAGGCUCAACCUCGAGACGUCGACGGAAACCGUCUGGCUAGAGUCCGGAAGAGGAGUGUGGAAUUCCUGGUGUAGCGGUGAAAUGCGCAGAUAUCAGGAAGAACACCUAUGGCGAAGGCAGCACUCUGGGACGGUACUGACGCUGAGACGCGAAAGCGUGGGGAGCGAACAGG